RNAcentral lists this ribosomal RNA (301 nucleotides) under uncultured bacterium. RNAcentral describes it as "partial 16S ribosomal RNA". It matches the Rfam family "Bacterial small subunit ribosomal RNA", at positions 509 to 807 of the family's 1533-position model. The record is from RNAcentral.
CAGUCGCCGCGGGAAUACGUAGGGUGCAAGCGUUAAUCGGAAUUACUGGGCGUAAAGCGUGCGCAGGCGGUUAUGUAAGACAGUUGUGAAAUCCCCGGGCUCAACCUGGGAACUGCAUCUGCGACUGCAUAGCUAGAGUACGGUAGAGGGGGAUGGAAUUCCGCGUGUAGCAGUGAAAUGCGUAGAUGUGCGGAGGAACACCGAUGGCGAAGGCAAUCCCCUGGACCUGUACUGACGCUCAUGCACGAAAGCGUGGGGAGCAAACAGGAUUAGAUACCCCCGUAGUCCCUGUCUCUUAUAC